RNAcentral lists this long non-coding RNA (396 nucleotides) under Sorghum bicolor (sorghum). RNAcentral's name for it is "long non-coding RNA (SBIC_LNC005678)". Lineage: Eukaryota; Viridiplantae; Streptophyta; Magnoliopsida; Poales; Poaceae. The record is from RNAcentral.
AAAAAUAAACAUGAACAAAAAUCCACAAAUAUAGGAAAAGAAAAAAGAAAAAAACAGUGGUGAUGCCAUGGAAGAAUAUAUAAGAUGAAAAAAAAGGUGGCGCAAUGGGAGAAAAGAAAAAGAAAAGGAGUCCGACGGGCCUAAACUUGUGUAUGAGAUGGUAUAUUUCUUCAUCCUUUUUUUUAGGAAUUCCUUCAUCCAUUAUGGACGUACCAUGCUGUGAAAUGGGCAAUUAUGCUACCUGGGCAGAGAACACAGCUUCUAGGCCGAACAUGCAGCGGAUUAGCUACUUGGGCCCUGGGCCUUGUCAUAUAUGAAAAUUGACGCCAUGGACCAUGGCCAGUUUCUGGUCAGAAGAAAAUCUAUUGCAAAAAGUCUACAUACCCCCAAACUAUU